AGGUUAAAGACUACAUGAGACUUUGACAGAUGGCGGGAAACCCUCAUCCACUGGUAGAGGAAUGUCUGCGACUAAGCCGAGGGCCACUGGAUAAGGGUUGUUGACGGUAAAACAGGUUAAAGACUACAUGAGACUUUGACAGAUGGCGGGAAACCCUCAUCCACUGGUACGAACCCGGUAAAUUGAUGGCUGUAAAACAGUGACCGCUGAUUCGCAUCGAGUUCUUUCUUGCAAAACGCAUGACCCCCCUUUUUUAUUGUCUAAAUCAUUGCGGCUUGGAAUGCUCUUUAAGAAAAGGUAUGGUUAUGGGGGUCUCUAUGCGCAAAAGUUUGACUUUAUUUUUUGUUGAAGUUAUUGCUUUUACAUUGAAUUUGUGUAGGAAAUCUUUUGGUAUAUUGUAA
Molecule: long non-coding RNA, 401 nt
Organism: Dreissena polymorpha
Lineage: Eukaryota; Metazoa; Mollusca; Bivalvia; Myida; Dreissenidae
Exons: 3
Source: RefSeq, a predicted model, not a curated record